This is a long non-coding RNA of Leopardus geoffroyi (Geoffroy's cat), 2691 nucleotides long. RefSeq lists it as uncharacterized. The record is from RefSeq and is a predicted model, not a curated record. Lineage: Eukaryota; Metazoa; Chordata; Mammalia; Carnivora; Felidae. The transcript is spliced from 2 exons.
UUACAGUUUUAUGAUUCUUGUUGAAAAUAUUGCUGGUUCUCUAAUGUUUGCUCUUCCAGAUUAAGGAAAAUUUCUCUUAAGAUAUCUAUGAUAUACAGAAAUGUCAUAUUAAUUUAUACCCUGAAGCAUUUAUCUUUUCUCUCUCUGCAUAACUCCCCUGAAAUUCAAAACCUCUCAGUGAGUAUUCUUUCCCUGAUGGCAAUUACAAUUGUUUUGCAUAAGUUCAAUAAGAAUCUGUUCAUCUUGUAACAGGUCACCAUCGGAAAUACUGGUUAUUUUACCAAGGCUUUGACUGGAAUGUCAUAUUUGAGAGUGACAUUCAUAGACUCAGAUGUGACCAGACAGCUUUGAGGAACUAAGGUUGGCUUUAUGAAACACGGAGCCAUAAAGCCCCUUGGAAAUGUUGGCCUGAUACCUUGCUUACAGAGUUCCCAGCAGCCUCACCAGGCUUCACAUCCAGGGCAAACCCCAGUGCUGGUCUUGAACUCACAACCCAGAGGUCAACACCUGAGAUGAGAUAAAGAGUUGGACACUUGGACACUUAACCCAUGCAGCCACCCAGGCCCACCUAAAGCAUAAUUUUAAGUGAUCAAUUAUAAAAACUUGGAAGGUUGGAAUUAAGGUUCUUUCAUGGGAAAGAACCAUAUCUUUUCAGAUUUAACAUCUGAAUUUACCACACCACCCUAUUCAGAUGCUUGGUCUUUAUUUCUAUUUUGGCGAAACCUAAACCUUAACCAAGGGGUGGUGUAGAAUUUGGUCAUAGUGCCUGGUUAACUGAAUGAAUGGGUGGAUGGAUACAGGAUUAUUUCAAACAUGCCUUGGAAAGUCUUGGAUUUUUACGUCCCAGGGCAGAGCUGUUCAUGCAGCUGUCUAAAGCCGUAGUGUUGGGUGGCUGAGAGGAUGCAGCUUCUCAAGACCCAGGAACCGAUGGCUGCAAAAUGGGAAGCAUUUCAAGUGUGGAAGACCGGCAUACACUUCAUGGCUGCCAUAGAAACGUGACUCUGUUGUGACAACCAUGAUGACUUUUCAAUACAGAGACGGAUUGGGAAGAAGAGGGGCCUUCAAGUGUUUGGAGCUUAGCUGAAGGUGUGGGUCCCCUCAGUGGAGCUGAUCUGUCCCAGAGUCUGGGGAGACAAAGGAAUCCAGGUCCAAGUCUCCUCUUUCCUCCUUUGGAGCUCGGCACCCAGAGUGUCUCAUGGGUAAACCUGUUGGGGUCUGGUCUGGGUCCAGUGAGUGUGGGUCCUGCUCCAGGGGUGUCCUGGAGCUACUGUCCUGUGAAGGCAGGGGUGCGGGAGGGAAGGCAGAUAAUGAAUAUGCACCUGGCUUCCCUUCUGCAGAAUGGGGGUGUGAAUGCUUCACCCACAGGGUCGCCGAGAACACUCGGUGAUACACAUGACCAAGUCCCUGGCCCUGUGAUUACUGCAGGAUCAUGAAUGCCUGUAUGAUUUCAGGCCACUUGUUACUCCUUUUCUUCUUUGUUGUUAGGGGAUAGAAGAAAAAGGCCCGGUGAGAAGUUCAUUGUAACAUGUAGUUGUUAUGAUCACAGCCCACUUGUUGUGAAGUAGGGAAGCUGAAGGGGCUCCAUUUUACAAGUGGUUUUUCUACCAGGCCCCAUUUAGCCUGCCAGGCUCCACAUUUGGCCUCUGAAUAAGACAAAGAGCUAUGUUCUCACUUCAACGGGGAAGCAAGAAAGUUAAUCAUUCUCUGAGAUUUGUCGAAGGCCCCAGACACCUGAUAACACCUAAGAAGAGCCAGAUCCAAAACAUGUUCCAGGACACUGGCUUCAAACAAACCUCAGCUGACGAUGGCAUCAAUACCCCUACCUUUGGUAAUUUAUGAAAUAACACCUAUUGUUCACCUGACGCUUGCCUUUGAUUGGACACUACCAUGGAUUCCCCUGGAACGUGUACCCUAAACCCUUUUUAAAUACAAACUCCUAGCCCAAAGCAAUGACAAGGCUCAUUCUCCUUUCCUUUCUGAGUCUCCCCCAGGCACUCUGCUAUUUUCUGUUCUUUCAUGCUAUUUGAUAAACUCUGUUAGCACUUUCUCCAGCUAACGUUUGAUUUCUACCACUUUUGAGGCCAAGGACCCUCUUGGCUGGUCCUGUGGUACCGUUCCCUGGGUUCUUGGACUCAGCUUGACUGCAUCAGUAUCAAUGUCAGUGUCACUAGACUAGUGCCUAGCAUGCUGCUGGGCACAUAGUUACUCUUGCAAAUCAUAGCGAUAGCUGGAUCUGUCUCUCCCUCUUCAGAACUUCAUUCCAUUGGCCACGCUCUUAUCAGGUGCCGGAAGGAGACAGGUUAUGAGGAUCUGAGUCCUGGUGGCUGCUGAAACCUCUACCCCAUAUUCAAGGACAACAGUCCUCAGGAGACACUAACAUUUCACAUUCCUGGUGGGAUAUGAUGCCUGGCACAAGUGAGUUCAUAGACCUGAACAAAAGCAUGUUGUGGAAUAGCUCCUGUAAGGUUCAAAAACUAACCUAAAAGCAGAGAAACUACUUAAACCACGUCAUGGGAGGAGAAGUUUAGCAGGUGGAAUUUCAAUCCACCAACAGGUGUGUUAGUAAAUCUUGAGGCCCAUCUUAGAGAAUUCCUCAUUUGUCUGAAAGGGACAAAUUGUGCACCUGAAAAUGACUUGGUCAUUAACGUGCACUUGCAAUAAAUAUAUUUUUUCUGAUUGCAUAAAUAAUAA